RNAcentral lists this long non-coding RNA (920 nucleotides) under Cricetulus griseus (Chinese hamster). Its description in RNAcentral is "lncRNA (ENSCGRG00015035893.1)". Lineage: Eukaryota; Metazoa; Chordata; Mammalia; Rodentia; Cricetidae. The record is from RNAcentral.
CUUCCAGGGAAUCCGCUCACAGUUCCUUGGCACAACAAUCUGUGGCACCCAGACUUACUGGGAACUGCUGGAGCACAAUGUGCGUGUGCUUCCCUAGUCAAGGGAGAGAACUUUCUGCCUUCAAAUGUUAGCAGAAACCUGGAUUCCUCUAGUGGGGAGAAUAGGAGGCUAAAGCAAUAAACAAACGGAUAGACGGAGGAACGCUGUGCAUUGUGGGUGUCUGAUGCAUCAUCCUCUGAGGUGGGUGAGAGAUGCUUUCUCCUUUCUACGACCCAGGAUCAGAGGCAAGGAAAGCACCAAGAGCACACACUAAGAUGUUUUCAAAGGUUCCUCUCCACUCUCCUGAAGAAACCCAGUGGAGCAAUGUGGAGGACAAUGAUAGCUGGAAAGCCCACAGAAUCAGCAUCUGGAAAUGGAAGUUGACAGCUGCACUUGUAAAAACGAAAGGAAGAUAUCCUCGGGCUUAAGAUACAGGGCAUCCUAAUAUCAGGGUUCUGUUCAUCUCCAUCCAACCUCAAACUGUUUGCCCAGUUAGCCAAUAUGUGUACAAGAGGAGACUCUCUGGAAGCCAGGGCAACAUCCACACAUCUAGUGUAAAAGUCACUGUACAUGUAAAUGGCUACAAACCACCAAAUCUAGCACCUAAAAGUCAAUGUACAGGGCAUCAAGGGAGCCAAAUCCUGGACUCUCUCCUUGAUGAACAGCUAGCCAUGUAGCAGACUGCCCACAGCCAGCCUAGGGACAGUGGCAUCUAUGAGCUUUGGCUCUCAGUGGACACACAAGAACGGCUGCAGAUGGAUUUGGUGGCUUCGGAGAUUAUUGUCUGUACAACCAGCCAGUGUGAUUUUUCUCCUUCCAUUUUCCUUUCUGUUAAGAUCACCUGAUUUUUCUUUGUAGAGUCUGUCCCCUCCCCAGUUUAC